This 210-nucleotide long non-coding RNA is filed under the name Elaeis guineensis (African oil palm). RNAcentral's name for it is "long non-coding RNA (EGUI_LNC028498)". The record is from RNAcentral. Lineage: Eukaryota; Viridiplantae; Streptophyta; Magnoliopsida; Arecales; Arecaceae.
UUGGGCCUCUUGUUUAGUUCUUUUUUCUACUUUCAUUCUCAUUUUUGUUUGUAUUUUUCUUCAAAAUUCUAUCUUUCUUCGAUCCAUAUGGCCUAUGAUGGUAGUGAGACUCAGGGUGAAAGCCAUCGGACUAAUCAGAGUUCUAGAUCUUGGGUCAAGUCUAAGGUGGAACCUUAGGCCGCUAUUGCUUUGAAUUCUCUAGCUUGGUCC